GACGUAGGGCGCGAGCGUUGUCCGGAUUUAUUGGGCGUAAAGAGCUCGUAGGCGGUUUGUCGCGUCGAAUGUGAAAACCCGGGGCUCAACCCCGGGCCUGCAUUCGAUACGGGCAGACUAGAGUUCGGUAGGGGAGACUGGAAUUCCUGGUGUAGCGGUGAAAUGCGCAGAUAAUCAGGAGGAACACCGGUGGCGAAGGCGGGUCUCUGGGCAGUAACUGACGCUGAGGAGCGAAAGCGUGGGGGAGCGAACAGG
This 255-nucleotide ribosomal RNA is filed under the name uncultured bacterium. RNAcentral's name for it is "partial 16S ribosomal RNA". It matches the Rfam family "Bacterial small subunit ribosomal RNA", at positions 524 to 776 of the family's 1533-position model. The record is from RNAcentral.